RNAcentral lists this ribosomal RNA (427 nucleotides) under uncultured bacterium. Its description in RNAcentral is "bacterial SSU rRNA". It matches the Rfam family "Bacterial small subunit ribosomal RNA", at positions 43 to 516 of the family's 1533-position model. The record is from RNAcentral.
CGUNGCUUAACACAUGCAAGUCGAACGAACCUUCGGGUUAGUGGCGGACGGGUGAGUAACGCGUGAGAAUCUGCCCUCAGGAGGGGGAUAACGGCUGGAAACGGCCGCUAAUACCCCAUAUGCCGAGAGGUGAAAUGAAUUUCGCCUGAGGAUGAGCUCGCGUCUGAUUAGCUAGUUGGUGGGGUAAGGGCCUACCAAGGCAUCGAUCAGUAGCUGGUCUGAGAGGAUGAUCAGCCACACUGGGACUGAGACACGGCCCAGACUCCUACGGGAGGCAGCAGUGGGGAAUUUUCCGCAAUGGGCGAAAGCCUGACGGAGCAACGCCGCGUGAGGGAUGAAGGCCUCUGGGCUGUAAACCUCUUUUAUCAAGGAAGAAGAUCUGACGGUACUUGAUGAAUAAGCCACGGCUAAUUCCGUGCCAGCAGCC